ACGAUGAGUACUAAGUGUUGGAGAAAUUCAGUGCUGUAGUUAACGCAAUAAGUACUCCGCCUGAGUAGUACGUACGCAAGUAUGAAACUCAAAGGAAUUGACGGGACCCCGCACAAGCGGUGGAUCAUGUUGUUUAAUUCGAAGAUACGCGAAAAACCUUACCAGGUCUUGACAUCCCUUGCAAUGCUAUAGAGAUAUAGUGGAGGUUAUCAAGGAGACAGGUGGUGCAUGGUUGUCGUCAGCUCGUGUCGUGAGAUGUUGGGUUAAGUCCCGCAACGAGCGCAACCCUUAUUGCUAGUUGCCAUCAUUUAGUUGGGGACUCUAGCGAGACUGCCAGUGAUAAACUGGAGGAAGGUGGGGAUGACGUCAAAUCAUCAUGCCCCUUAUGACCUGGGCUACAAACGUGAUACAAUGGCUAUUACAGAGGGCAGCGAAGCCGCGAGGUGUAGCGAAACCCACAAAAAUAGUCUCAGUUCGGAUUGAAGUCUGCAACUCGACUUCAUGAAGCCGGAAUCGCUAGUAAUCGCAAAUCAGAAUGUUGCGGUGAAUACGUUCUCGGGGUUUGUACACACCGCCCGUCAAACCACGGAAGUUAACAAUACCCAAAGCCGGUGGCCUAACCGUAAGGAGGGAGCCGUUUAAGGUAGGGUUGAUGACUGGGGUUAAGUCGUAACAAGGUAACCAAGGGCGAA
Molecule: ribosomal RNA, 692 nt
Filed under: uncultured bacterium
Lineage: Bacteria
Description: bacterial SSU rRNA
Rfam family: Bacterial small subunit ribosomal RNA
Source: RNAcentral